UCCUUGGUGGCUUAGACGGUAAAGAAUCUGCCUGCAAUGCAGGAGACCCGGUUUCUAUUUCUGGAUCAGGAA
RNAcentral lists this transfer RNA (72 nucleotides) under Bos taurus (domestic cattle). It matches the Rfam family "tRNA". Rfam says of the family: Transfer RNA (tRNA) molecules are approximately 80 nucleotides in length. Their secondary structure includes four short double-helical elements and three loops (D, anti-codon, and T loops). Further hydrogen bonds mediate the characteristic L-shaped molecular structure. tRNAs have two regions of fundamental functional importance: the anti-codon, which is responsible for specific mRNA codon recognition, and the 3' end, to which the tRNAs corresponding amino acid is attached (by aminoacyl-tRNA synthetases). tRNAs cope with the degeneracy of the genetic code in two manners: having more than one tRNA (with a specific anti-codon) for a particular amino acid; and 'wobble' base-pairing, i.e. permitting non-standard base-pairing at the 3rd anti-codon position. Lineage: Eukaryota; Metazoa; Chordata; Mammalia; Artiodactyla; Bovidae. The record is from Rfam by way of RNAcentral. RNAcentral also lists the same sequence under 5 other names.